UCCAACAUUAAAGAUUAGAUCAGGGCCCUGAAAUUGUGUGGGUCGACCCUGAUCAAUCAUGUAUAUAUAUCAACAAUUCAUUCACCAAACACCAACACAUCAUCACUUUAUAAUUUCCCAUAAUUUGUUCAUCAUGUUCAUAUCCCCAAAAUCCUUAUUCCAUGACAUGACAGAAAAAUUCUGCAAACAUCAUGUCGCAUCCGCGAAAAACAACCGGCGGGCUGAAACAAAAACAACACAG
RNAcentral lists this long non-coding RNA (241 nucleotides) under Lathyrus oleraceus (garden pea). RNAcentral's name for it is "Pisum sativum (pea) long non-coding RNA (PSAT_LNC028795)". The record is from RNAcentral. Lineage: Eukaryota; Viridiplantae; Streptophyta; Magnoliopsida; Fabales; Fabaceae.